Molecule: non-coding RNA, 2916 nt
Organism: Podarcis lilfordi (Lilford's wall lizard)
Lineage: Eukaryota; Metazoa; Chordata; Lepidosauria; Squamata; Lacertidae
Source: the annotation of a GenBank genome assembly
GUCAAAAUAAAAACAACAACCCAAUAACACCUCCCCCCCCCACAAAACCACAUUUUAAAAGGGCAUAGGAUGUCAAUCAAAUCAACCAAAGGAUUUAUUAUUUCACAAGAGGGGGAGAAAAGGAGCAAUAUGGGUAAUUCAAAUAGAUUUACGGUGAGUCCCUAAACUAAAGUAAAAAAGUGGGGGGAGGAAUGUGUGUUGUAAUUUAUUUAUCUAUAGAGUCUCUCAGAGCUGUCUCUGGCUACACAGUCCUGGGCUGGGGCGCAGCUUGUAGGCCUCAGUCUCUGUUGCUCCCUGACUGUGGAGUUGCUACUGUUAAAUUAACACUAUAUUUGGGGGGGGGGAUUGCUGUCAUAUCCUGUUCGUGGUUCUUUUUAUUCACUCUCUCUAUAGUUUCUUUUUCUCCCCCUGGAGCUUCAGCUACCCCCUCCCUGAAGCUCUUCAACCAAUUUACCUCAGGAUUUCCUCAGAACUCCCUCGCAAUCUCCUCAGAAACCACCUUUCAGCUCCCUACCACAACCUAAGUGCACCCCACACACACACACACAAAGGAUGCUCUCCGGGCCUCCCACUGGAUGUUGCACUUUUACAAGACAGCACGUUAUUCCGCCGGGUUUGGACAUUUUGAUUCUUCCUUCUUUCACCUGCUCCCUUUCCUCUAUUGGAAUCUGUUCUGAGGGAGAGUUGAAUGGACAUUGUGGUAGGUGUCUUCACAGGCGAAGGCACGAAAAGUGUCAGAGACUCCCUUCUGCCAAUGAGGAUCUUUUGAUUUCUGCCAAAUCCCACCCCCAGCUGCAGCCCCCUGUGCCACAACCCAUAGAGUCCCUCCAGGAAGUCCCCUAACCCAUAGGAGUGCUUUUCAAGGCACACAGGACUGUAGUGGAAACAAGAUGCAAUGCCUCCUUGUGUGAGAGCAACUCCACUCACAGCUUUCUGCAUACUAUUGAACAGCUGGGUGAUGAACUGGGGAGUCCAGUAUAAAUGGAAAGUAUUUGGGAUGGGGGAUUCCCCCAUUCCCUGGAACCCGCUUUCGGUUUCGUCAUCCCGCAGACCUGGCCCGGAACCAGUUUUGCUUGUGAGGAUUUAUGAGGCCAUUUUCCCAAAGUCUCUUAAGCACUUUUUUGAGCUAAUUUACUCUCCCCCACUCACUCCCCACCCUAUAAACCCAUCAUCAAAUUCUUCAGUGGUGCUUGCUGCUUCUAAUUUGCUUAUUUUGAUGAACAGAAAAAUGCAAAACAGCCAGCAGCUUCUCAUUUGCCCAAAAAGGAAAGCAGAGGAAGUCUGUACAACAAACACACAGGAAGGGUGGCUAAUGAUAUAGGAGCAUCACAUACGCGGCAAUAUGGGAGCAUUCUUCUCUUGAUGCAUGAGAGACUUUAGCACGUGCAUUGGAUUAAUGGAUGGGAGACAAAGAAAAGGGCCUUGAAUUAACCACAAAAGCAAUCUAUGGAUGGCAAGUAUCUCUAUAAAGUGAAUAUAUAGCAUAUUAAUCAUAAAGCAAGCAGCUGAAUGCAUGUAAAUUAGAAAAAAAGGCUUGUAUAUAGGAUACAGGGCAUGCAGAGUAUGUCAAAGGAUGCCUGAAUUUCUGCGGGAUUUGCAUACAGAGGGUGAAAAAUAUUGCUUUUUUUUAAAAAAAACAAAGUAGUUCAAAUAAGCAGGUCUUUAUAGUAAUUUAAAGUAGAAUGGAAACCAAUUUUUGAUCAUAUACACGAUGAUAAAGAAUAUCGCAAUAUGCUUUGUCUUGAUUCCAGUCUUCUGACCUUAAUCAUAAAGAAUAUGUUUUAUUCCCAGAUGUUAUUACCAUUGUUCUAUUGGGAUGGGGGGGAUAUUUCACAAAAUGUCUGUUUCACUCUGCUGUCCAUAGCCUGCUAUCAUAGAUAUUUGUCUGAGCAAAUCUCUCAAACAUUCAGUUAUGUUCUGCCUUCUCCAAGAAGUGGGAAGGUCGUCAUCUACCAUGUAAAUUGCCUUUGUAAGAAAGGGCACUGGGACAUUACCUUUGGAAUAAUCUGUUCUCUUACAAAUGCACAGGUUGUCCAGGCGUUCUUGGAGCACAGAAGCUCUGCUAAUCCUAAAGCAACAUCAGACCAACACGCCAAAAUUCCUGGCAAAUUCAAUAGCCAAUAGAAAAUUACUCUGUUUGACAGGAUGCAAACAGAACGUGUACGGUGAGCAUUCUUAUGUCCAUUUGUUUCUUUGACCUCUACUAGAUUAGGGUGUUUUAAAACAGAAUAUUACGCUGUACAGCCUCUAUCCAGAGUAUAUUGCCAUUUUUCACAUCCUCGUUCCAUUUGGAAGCUAUCAAACGUCUUUUUUUUAAAAAGUCCUUUGUUGUCAUCGUCAUUGUAAAUACAUUUUUUGUAUUUUGCCAAAGUUUCUUUGCUUCACCCCACUGCCCACAGUCUGCCAUCAUGGCUACUGGUCUGGAACAAAGCUCUCAAACAUACUGAAAACUGGCAAGAGGAACUAUGCAAAGCAGAACAAAACAGUAAAUCAGCCAUUAAGCAGAGAGUGGGGGAAAACAAAAUAAUGUUGAAAAUCUUGGGAGAAUAAUAUUUACUUCAGGCAGACUCUUUCUUAAACUCAUGAAGCUUCUUUAUCUUAAGGGUUAGAUGUGCAGGGUUUGGUUUAUGAGAGACCUAUGAUUAAAUCCUGGCUCAGCCAUGAAACGCAUUGUCUGGCCUUGAGUAUAUCUACAGUUGCCAUAUUUCAAAAAGUAAAAUCCCUGACCCCCAAAGUUGCUGAGCUUUGGAGUUGUUUCCACUGUUUUUCCCAUCGUGUUACAUCUGGGUUUUCCCUGACAUUUUGCCGAUUCGGCAACAUUCCCCCCAACGCCAUUUUUACACCCCAAAAACAAGACAUGUCAGGAAUUUUCCUGAUGUAUGGCAAGCCUAGUAUAUCACUCUUUCCCCCAACCAG